This 309-nucleotide long non-coding RNA is filed under the name Malus domestica (apple). Its description in RNAcentral is "long non-coding RNA (MDOM_LNC012669)". The record is from RNAcentral. Lineage: Eukaryota; Viridiplantae; Streptophyta; Magnoliopsida; Rosales; Rosaceae.
AUUACAUAUUUGGAUAGUACUAAUCGAGACAAACGCAUGGGCGUAAACAGAAUGUGAUUCAAAAUUAUAACGAAGAUUUUAUGAGGUUUUGAACGUCGAGCAUAUUUUGGUAAAUUGAUAUUAAUCGGACAUGUGCUAUUUUUGUCUAACCAUUGGAUGAGUGCCAUGUGGGCACCUAAAAAAUUCUGGAACUCUCUCCUCCCUUUUCUCUCUCGUACCUCUUCACUCCCUCUAACUCCCUAGCUCUCUCUCUCUCUCGGCUUUCCCUUUUCUCCCCUUGAAACAAACCAUCAUCACCACCAAAAUUUU